GUAGGUGGCAAGCGUUGUCCGGAAUUAUUGGGCGUAAAGCGCGCGCAGGCGGUCCUUUAAGGUCUGAUGUGAAAGCCCACGGGCUCAACCGUGAGGGUCAUUGGAAACUGGGGGACUUGAGUACAGAAGAGGAAAGCGGAAUUCCAAGUGUAGCGGUGAAAUGCGUAGAGAUUUGGAGGAACACCAGUGGCGAAGGCGGCUUUCUGGUCUGUAACUGACGCUGAGGCGCGAAAGCGUGGGGAGCAAACAGGAUUAGAUACCCUGGUAGUCCACGCCGUAAACGAUGAGUGCUAAGUGUUAGGGGGUUUCCGCCCCUUAGUGCUGCAGCUAACGCAUUAAGCACUCCGCCUGGGGAGUACGGCCGCAAAGGCUGA
This 374-nucleotide ribosomal RNA is filed under the name uncultured organism. RNAcentral describes it as "partial 16S ribosomal RNA". It matches the Rfam family "Bacterial small subunit ribosomal RNA", at positions 527 to 897 of the family's 1533-position model. The record is from RNAcentral.